CGGGAAUUGCCCAAAUGGUGAACAAACCAUGUUCUUUCGAAAGAGGAACGCUAAUACUAUUAGGGUGAUCUGAAAUUUAUUGCUCUGCAACGAUUCUGAGGACAGAUAUUGGACUCAGCUGGACUCGAUGUCGGAGAGUAUAUCUGAUAUAAAGUGGUCAGCCUUUUACUUCUUUUACCCUGUGGCUGUGUCGUUCAGUGUCCGCAGUAUUGACGAC
Molecule: non-coding RNA, 217 nt
Organism: Paramuricea clavata
Lineage: Eukaryota; Metazoa; Cnidaria; Anthozoa; Malacalcyonacea; Plexauridae
Source: the annotation of a GenBank genome assembly